Ailuropoda melanoleuca (giant panda) is the source of this 1476-nucleotide long non-coding RNA. RefSeq lists it as uncharacterized. The transcript is spliced from 9 exons. NCBI's taxonomy places the organism in Eukaryota, Metazoa, Chordata, Mammalia, Carnivora, Ursidae. The record is from RefSeq and is a predicted model, not a curated record.
UUGAUGGUGUUCCUUUUUAAGAACAUCACCAAUAAUUGGGCAAAAAGCCUUAUUAAAUAAUUCUUUGCAACGUGCACCAGCAUUCUGGGAAGUAGUCGAGAAAAUUUACUCAACAUUACUGAUUUGUAUUAAAUGUUUCACUUCCUUCAACUUCAGUUUCUUAUUUGAAAUAUGAAUAUUGAUAGGGACAGCUGUGUGUGUGUGUGCGCGCGCGUGUGCAUGCCGAUGCGCGCGUGUGGUGUGUAUUUUAGUAGAUUAUUUUACAUUUUACAUUAGAACAAUUUUACAUUUACAGGAAAAUUGAGACGAUAGAAAGAGUGCACCUAUAUCUGGCGCUCAGUUUUACCUGUUUAUUAACACCUUAUGUUUGUAUGGUACUUCGUUGGAGUUGAUGAACCAAUAAUGACAUGUUAUUCUUUAACUGAAGUCAUUAUUCAGAUUUCCUUAAAUUUUUCCUAAUGUUUUUCUGUUCCAGGAUACCACAUUACAUGUAGUGUUCAUGUCUCCCUAGGCUCCUCUUGGCUGUGACAAUUUCUCAUACUUUUGUCAUUUUUGCUGGCCUCCAUGGUUUUGAGGAAUACUGCACUGUUUGAAGGCUCAGAGUCUUCUGCUUCUGUUGGCAGAAAAGGGUCUUCCCUUUCCCAGUGGAGAAGCCAUAUCAGAUUCAUAAAACCCUGGCCUAGAGAAGUUUCAUAGAAUGGGUCACAUCAUGGUAAACACUGUGGCAGCUGCUACCUACUGUUUUGUGUUAGGAGAAACUUCCAUUUCUUCAACACUUCAGAUCUGCUUUCCACGCUGGACAUCCUUAAACAGGCAUGCAGACACUUGAGGAGGAGACCGAAGAACUCACUUCUCACGUUAUUGUUAGAAGAAACUCCGAGAGGUCUAAAGAGGAGAGAAGGAGAAGGAGCUGUGAAUUCACAGCAGCUGUGAAUCCACCAACAGCCUGGAGGUGGGAGGACCUGUGUACAGAUCAACAGAGAAGAUCUGGAGGAAGAGCAUUGACUUACGUCUCGUUAAGUCAUGGAGCCACCUACCCCUUUCUCCUUAAAGGCAUAUGGUAUCUCUUACUUCCUUUUGGCCAAGGGACAAGAGGAAAUAAAAAGAAAAGGAAGCUCGGUUGGAAGACUAAAGAGGCUGAGCAGUAAAUUCUGAGUCCCAGUGCGAGGAAAAGUGAAUAAGGAAUGGGUGGUCAUAAUGUGUCGAUGAAGUGGCUUCAUCGUGUGAUCAAAGAAGGUGAAUGGAGAAUUCCCUUGAGUCAAGUGUGUGAUUCUUUGCACAAUGAUAUUAAGAACAGAAUAAUGGGUAAAGAUAAGCCGAUGGGAAGCACAUGUCUACAAGGCAACUGGCAGCAGUCCCACAGCCAUUAGUCUGUGGUAUCUGGUGAAACUGCUGGAGUCAGCAUGACGGAGCAAAAAGAAGGAAGAAAACUAUCUCUGAAAUGAAAAGAGCCUGUUGGCUUUCAGACUGGAGCUA